RNAcentral lists this unclassified non-coding RNA (352 nucleotides) under soil metagenome. Its description in RNAcentral is "partial contains 5.8S ribosomal RNA, internal transcribed spacer 2, and large subunit ribosomal RNA". The stretch from base 1 to 120 matches the Rfam family "5.8S ribosomal RNA", at positions 35 to 154 of the family's 154-position model. The record is from RNAcentral.
GAUGAAGAACGCAGCGAAAUGUGAUAAGUAAUGUGAAUUGCAGAAUUCAGUGAAUCAUCGAAUCUUUGAACGCACAUUGCGCCCGCCAGUAUUCUGGCGGGCAUGCCUGUUCGAGCGUCAUUACAACCCUCAGGCCCCCGGGCCUGGCGUUGGGGAUCGGCGGAGCCCCCCGUGGGCACACGCCGUCCCCCAAAUGCAGUGGCGGUCCCGCCGCAGCUUCCAUCGCGUAGUAGCUAACACCUCGCGACUGGAGAGCGGCGCGGCCACGCCGUAAAACACCCAACUCUUCUGAAGUUGACCUCGAAUCAGGUAGGAAUACCCGCUGAACUUAAGCAUAUCAAUAAGCGGAGGA